AGCUUCUACUCAAGAUUUGAAGGGCAGCUGUCCUCAGGAGACCCCUGGCACUUCCCUCCAUGGUGGGAUGUGAUGCCUGAUUCCAGUGAGUUCAUAGAGCUGAACAAAAGGAGGCAGCAGAUGGCUGAAAUUCUGAUCCGAUGUGGCUGGUUAAUGCAUGAUCUGAAAACCCCUGCACUGGUGAUUUUGGGACAGAUCUAGAAUAUACCAAUAAAUAUAUUAACAUACCAAGUAGUCUAGGAGCAGCCACUGGGCGAACACCAAACCUUGCAUCCCUGCUGCUGUCUCUGAGCUCAGCAGACACGUCUUUGCAGAAGAGUUCUAUAAUGGUGGUACAAUGGUGCCCCCUCGUGACAGAAGCUUGAACUACAGCUUGAACAUCGAGAUGAAAAUAUACUGUCUACGUUGUUCAACACAAUAGCUAAUGGCAACUGUGGCAGUUGAACACCCGAAACGUGAUGAAUGUGACUGAGGAACUGAACUUUUAGUUUCAUUGUGACAUGAUGAAUGAAUUUAUUGAGCCCCAGGAAGAAGGAAAAUUAAAGAAGAGCAAAGAAUAAUAGCUGGACAGAAGAUGGGGGUCAUUGAACCUAUAUCCUAGUUGCCAGACCAGUAAACUGACCAUGGGACCUGGGGGAGGCAGCAGAUGACCGAAAACCUGGAGUGAUGUGGCUGAAUACCGCAUGAUCUGAAGACUGCACUGGUGGCUGCGGUAUGGGUCCAAAUUUUUCCUUAACAAAAACAAAAAAAGAGCCCAAAACCAUACUGACUAGUCCAGGAAUAGCCAUUAGGCAAACAACUUUUUGCUACCCUGGUGUUACCGAUUUCUGAACUCAACAGGUGAAUUCAAAGAUAUGCCUGUCUUUCCAGCAUGGGGAGCUGGAUUUGGGUCAGCUCAGGCGCAUGAUGUUGAACAGCUCUUAUGAGCUUCUGAUAGUGCCCAGGAAGUACAGAAACAACUGUCUACAAAUCUUUGAACUCAAGGCAUAUCACAGGGACAUUUGCUUUCUUCAACUAGAUAUCUGUUUUCUCAUAAAGAGAAACAAUGAGAAAUGGUUUUUCACAAUGCCUCGUUAGCCCUGAGGCUCAGCCAUCCCCUAGUGCUGUGUCCCAACAUUUAAAGGCCGUUGAAG
Molecule: long non-coding RNA, 1133 nt
Organism: Homo sapiens (human)
Lineage: Eukaryota; Metazoa; Chordata; Mammalia; Primates; Hominidae
Source: Ensembl